Molecule: small nuclear RNA, 105 nt
Organism: Meriones unguiculatus (Mongolian gerbil)
Lineage: Eukaryota; Metazoa; Chordata; Mammalia; Rodentia; Muridae
Source: Ensembl
AUGCUCAUUUCAGCAGCACAUAUACUAAAAUGUGAAUGACAGAGAAGAUUAGCAAGUCCCCUGAUCAAGGAUGACAUGCAAAUUUGUGAAGUGUUCCAUAUAUUU